RNAcentral lists this ribosomal RNA (545 nucleotides) under uncultured Alphaproteobacteria bacterium. Its description in RNAcentral is "bacterial SSU rRNA". It matches the Rfam family "Bacterial small subunit ribosomal RNA", at positions 37 to 628 of the family's 1533-position model. The record is from RNAcentral. Lineage: Bacteria; Pseudomonadati; Pseudomonadota; Alphaproteobacteria.
UGGCGGCAGGCCUAACACAUGCAAGUCGAGCGAGACCUUCGGGUCUAGCGGCGGACGGGUGAGUAACGCGUGGGAACGUGCCCUUCUCUACGGAAUAGUCCCGGGAAACUGGGUUUAAUACCGUAUACGCCCUUCGGGGGAAAGAUUUAUCGGAGAAGGAUCGGCCCGCGUUGGAUUAGGUAGUUGGUGGGGUAAUGGCCUACCAAGCCGACGAUCCAUAGCUGGUUUGAGAGGAUGAUCAGCCACACUGGGACUGAGACACGGCCCAGACUCCUACGGGAGGCAGCAGUAGGGAAUCUUAGACAAUGGGGGCAACCCUGAUCUAGCCAUGCCGCGUGUGUGAUGAAGGCCCUAGGGUCGUAAAGCACUUUCGCCAGAGAUGAUAAUGACAGUAUCUGGUAAAGAAACCCCGGCUAACUCCGUGCCAGCAGCCGCGGUAAUACGGAGGGGGUUAGCGUUGUUCGGAAUUACUGGGCGUAAAGCGCACGUAGGCGGAUUAGUUAGUUAGAGGUGAAAUCCCAGGGCUCAACCCUGGAACUGCCUUU